GACGAACGCUGGCGGCGUGCUUAACACAUGCAAGUCGAACGGAAAGGCCCUGCUUUUGUGGGGUGCUCGAGUGGCGAACGGGUGAGUAACACGUGAGUAACCUGCCCUUGACUUUGGGAUAACUUCAGGAAACUGGGGCUAAUACCGGAUAGGAGCUCCUGCUGCAUGGUGGGGGUUGGAAAGUUUCGGCGGUUGGGGAUGGACUCGCGGCUUAUCAGCUUGUUGGUGGGGUAGUGGCUUACCAAGGCUUUGACGGGUAGCCGGCCGGAGAGGGUGGCCGGCCUCAUUGGGCCUACGGUAGGGCCCAGACUCCUAUGGGAGGCAGCAGUCGGGAAUAUUGUCCAAUGGGCGCAAGCCUGAUGCAGAAGCGCCGCGUGCGGGAUGACGGCCUUCGGGUUGUAAACCGCUUUCGCCUGUGACGAAGCGUGAGUGACGGUAAUGGGUAAAGAAGCACCGGCUAACUACGUG
This 468-nucleotide ribosomal RNA is filed under the name uncultured bacterium. RNAcentral describes it as "partial 16S ribosomal RNA". It matches the Rfam family "Bacterial small subunit ribosomal RNA", at positions 28 to 507 of the family's 1533-position model. The record is from RNAcentral.